CGUGGUAUCCUGUCUGAAUAUGGGGGGACCAUCCUCCAAGGCUAAAUACUCCUGACUGACCGAUAGUGAACCAGUACCGUGAGGGAAAGGCGAAAAGAACCCCGGCGAGGGGAGUGAAAAAGAACCUGAAACCGUGUACGUACAAGCAGUGGGAGCCUMYUURUKRGGUGACUGCGUACCUUUUGUAUAAUGGGUCAGCGACUUAUAUUCUGUAGCAAGGUUAACCGWAUAGGGGAGCCGAAGGGAAACCGAGUCUUAACUGGGCGUUAAGUUGCAGGGUAUAGACCCGAAACCCGGUGAUCUAGCCAUGGGCAGGUUGAAGGUUGGGUAACACUAACUGGAGGACCGAACCGACUAAUGUUGAAAAAUUAGCGGAUGACCUGUGGCUGGGGGUGAAAGGCCAAUCAAACCGGGAGAUAGCUGGUUCUCCCCGAAAGCUAUUUAGGUAGCGCCUCGUGAACUCAUCUUCGGGGGUAGAGCACUGUUUCGGCUAGGGGGCCAUCCCGGCUUACCAACCCGAUGCAAACUACGAAUACCGAAGAAUGUUAUCACGGGAGACACACGGCGGGUGCUAACGUCCGUCGUGAAGAGGGAAACAACCCAGACCGCCAGCUAAGGUCCCAAAGUCAUGGUUAAGUGGGAAACGAUGUGGGAAGGCACAGACAGCCAGGAUGUUGGCUUAGAAGCAGCCAUCAUUUAAAGAAAGCGUAAUAGCUCACUGGUCGAGUCGGCCUGCGCGGAAGAUGUAACGGGGCUAAACCAUGCACCGAAGCUGCGGCAGCGACGCUUAUGCGUUGUUGGGUAGGGGAGCGUUCUGUAAGCCGUUGAAGGUGGCCUGUGAGGGUUGCUGGAGGUAUCAGAAGUGCGAAUGCUGACAUAAGUAACGAUAAAGCGGGUGAAAAGCCCGCUCGCCGGAAGACCAAGGGUUCCUGUCCAACGUUANGUGGGAAACGAUGUGGGAAGGCACAGACAGCCAGGAUGUUGGCUUAGAAGCAGCCAUCAUUUAAAGAAAGCGUAAUAGCUCACUGGUCGAGUCGGCCUGCGCGGAAGAUGUAACGGGGCUAAACCAUGCACCGAAGCUGCGGCAGCGACACUAUGUGUUGUUGGGUAGGGGAGCGUUCUGUAAGCCGUUGAAGGUGGCCUGUGAGGGUUGCUGGAGGUAUCAGAAGUGCGAAUGCUGACAUAAGUAACGAUAAAGCGGGUGAAAAGCCCGCUCGCCGGAAGACCAAGGGUUCCUGUCCAACGUUAAUCGGGGCAGGGUGAGUCGACCCCUAAGGCGAGGCCGAAAGGCGUAGUCGAUGGGAAACAGGUUAAUAUUCCUGUACUUGGUGUUACUGCGAAGGGGGGACGGAGAAGGCUAUGUUAGCCGGGCGACGGUUGUCCCGGUUUAAGCAUGUAGGCGGAGGUUCCAGGUAAAUCCGGUUACCUUUUAACGCUGAGGUGUGAUGACGAGGCACUACGGUGCUGAAGUAACAAAUGCCCUGCUUCCAGGAAAAGCCUCUAAGCAUCAGGUAACACGAAAUCGUACCCCAAACCGACACAGGUGGUCAGGUAGAGAAUACCAAGGCGCUUGAGAGAACUCGGGUGAAGGAACUAGGCAAAAUGGUGCCGUAACUUCGGGAGAAGGCACGCUGAUAUGUAGGUGAAGCCCCUGCGGGUGGAGCUGAAAUCAGUCGAAGAUACCAGCUGGCUGCAACUGUUUAUUAAAAACACAGCACUGUGCAAACACGAAAGUGGACGUAUACGGUGUGACGCCUGCCCGGUGCCGGAAGGUUAAUUGAUGGGGUUAGCGGCAACGCGAAGCUCUUGAUCGAAGCCCCGGUAAACGGCGGCCGUAACUAUAACGGUCCUAAGGUAGCGAAAUUCCUUGUCGGGUAAGUUCCGACCUGCACGAAUGGCGUAAUGAUGGCCAGGCUGUCUCCACCCGAGACUCAGUGAAAUUGAACUCGCUGUGAAGAUGCAGUGUACCCGCGGCAAGACGGAAAGACCCCGUGAACCUUUACUAUAGCUUGACACUGAACACUGGUCCUUGAUGUGUAGGAUAGGUGGGAGGCUUUGAAGCGUGGACGCCAGUCUGCGUGGAGCCGACCUUGAAAUACCACCCUUUAAUGGCUGGUGUUCUAACGUAGACCCGUAAUCCGGGUUGCGGACAGUGUCUGGUGGGUAGUUUGACUGGGGCGGUCUCCUCCCAAAGAGUAACGGAGGAGCACGAAGGUUAGCUAAUCCUGGUCGGACAUCAGGAGGUUAGUGCAAUGGCAUAAGCUAGCUUGACUGCGAGAGUGACGGCUCGAGCAGGUGCGAAAGCAGGUCAUAGUGAUCCGGUGGUUCUGAAUGGAAGGGCCAUCGCUCAACGGAUAAAAGGUACUCCGGGGAUAACAGGCUGAUACCGCCCAAGAGUUCAUAUCGACGGCGGUGUUUGGCACCUCGAUGUCGGCUCAUCACAUCCUGGGGCUGAAGUAGGUCCCAAGGGUAUGGCUGUUCGCCAUUUAAAGUGGUACGCGAGCUGGGUUUAGAACGUCGUGAGACAGUUCGGUCCCUAUCUGCCGUGGGCGCUGGAGAAUUGAGGGGGGCUGCUCCUAGUACGAGAGGACCGGAGUGGACGCAUCACUGGUGUUCGGGUUGUCAUGCCAAUGGCACUGCCCGGUAGCUAAAUGCGGAAGAGAUAAGUGCUGAAAGCAUCUAAGCACGAAACUUGCCCCGAGAUGAGUUCUCCCUGAGACUAUAAGUCUCCUGAAGGAACGUUGAAGACGACGACGUUGAUAGGUCGGGUGUGUAAGCGCAGCGAUGCGUUGAGCUAACCGAUACUAAUGAACCGUGAGGCUUAACCUUACAACGCCGAAG
Molecule: ribosomal RNA, 2841 nt
Filed under: Enterobacter sp. M4-VN
Lineage: Bacteria; Pseudomonadati; Pseudomonadota; Gammaproteobacteria; Enterobacterales; Enterobacteriaceae
Description: 23S ribosomal RNA
Source: RNAcentral